AGAGUUUGAUCAUGGCUCAGAUUGAACGCUGGCGGCAGGCCUAACACAUGCAAGUCGAGCGGUAGCACAGAGAGCUUGCUCUCGGGUGACGAGCGGCGGACGGGUGAGUAAUGUCUGGGAAACUGCCUGAUGGAGGGGGAUAACUACUGGAAACGGUAGCUAAUACCGCAUAAUGUCGCAAGACCAAAGUGGGGGACCUUCGGGCCUCAUGCCAUCAGAUGUGCCCAGAUGGGAUUAGCUAGUAGGUGGGGUAACGGCUCACCUAGGCGACGAUCCCUAGCUGGUCUGAGAGGAUGACCAGCCACACUGGAACUGAGACACGGUCCAGACUCCUACGGGAGGCAGCAGUGGGGAAUAUUGCACAAUGGGCGCAAGCCUGAUGCAGCCAUGCCGCGUGUGUGAAGAAGGCCUUCGGGUUGUAAAGCACUUUCAGCGGGGAGGAAGGCGGUGAGGUUAAUAACCUCACCGAUUGACGUUACCCGCAGAAGAAGCACCGGCUAACUCCGUGCCAGCAGCCGCGGUAAUACGGAGGGUGCAAGCGUUAAUCGGAAUUACUGGGCGUAAAGCGCACGCAGGCGGUCUGUCAAGUCGGAUGUGAAAUCCCCGGGCUCAACCUGGGAACUGCAUUCGAAACUGGCAGGCUAGAGUCUUGUAGAGGGGGGUAGAAUUCCAGGUGUAGCGGUGAAAUGCGUAGAGAUCUGGAGGAAUACCGGUGGCGAAGGCGGCCCCCUGGACAAAGACUGACGCUCAGGUGCGAAAGCGUGGGGAGCAAACAGGAUUAGAUACCCUGGUAGUCCACGCCGUAAACGAUGUCGAUUUGGAGGUUGUGCCCUUGAGGCGUGGCUUCCGGAGCUAACGCGUUAAAUCGACCGCCUGGGGAGUACGGCCGCAAGGUUAAAACUCAAAUGAAUUGACGGGGGCCCGCACAAGCGGUGGAGCAUGUGGUUUAAUUCGAUGCAACGCGAAGAACCUUACCUGGUCUUGACAUCCACAGAACUUUCCAGAGAUGGAUUGGUGCCUUCGGGAACUGUGAGACAGGUGCUGCAUGGCUGUCGUCAGCUCGUGUUGUGAAAUGUUGGGUUAAGUCCCGCAACGAGCGCAACCCUUAUCCUUUGUUGCCAGCGGUCCGGCCGGGAACUCAAAGGAGACUGCCAGUGAUAAACUGGAGGAAGGUGGGGAUGACGUCAAGUCAUCAUGGCCCUUACGACCAGGGCUACACACGUGCUACAAUGGCAUAUACAAAGAGAAGCGACCUCGCGAGAGCAAGCGGACCUCAUAAAGUAUGUCGUAGUCCGGAUUGGAGUCUGCAACUCGACUCCAUGAAGUCGGAAUCGCUAGUAAUCGUAGAUCAGAAUGCUACGGUGAAUACGUUCCCGGGCCUUGUACACACCGCCCGUCACACCAUGGGAGUGGGUUGCAAAAGAAGUAGGUAGCUUAACCUUCGGGAGGGCGCUUACCACUUUGUGAUUCAUGACUGGGGUGAAGUCGUAACAAGGUAACCGUAGGGGAACCUGCGGUUGGAUCACCU
This 1528-nucleotide ribosomal RNA is filed under the name Klebsiella pneumoniae. RNAcentral's name for it is "bacterial SSU rRNA". It matches the Rfam family "Bacterial small subunit ribosomal RNA". RNAcentral also lists the same sequence under 2 other names. The record is from RNAcentral. Lineage: Bacteria; Pseudomonadati; Pseudomonadota; Gammaproteobacteria; Enterobacterales; Enterobacteriaceae.